RNA transcript from Aedes albopictus (Asian tiger mosquito), 7722 nucleotides. RefSeq lists it as uncharacterized. Lineage: Eukaryota; Metazoa; Arthropoda; Insecta; Diptera; Culicidae. The record is from RefSeq and is a predicted model, not a curated record. The transcript is spliced from 2 exons.
CCUUCGAAAAACCAUUGUAGUUGAGUAGGCCCACCGUGCACACUACCACUAUUACGGAUGAUGAAGUAGACCUACCUUGCAUAACCUACCGUGGUCAGCAUAGCUGUCACUGAUAGGUAUGAAUGAGGACAAAACAAAACAGAACGACAGAUAGGGAUCAAAAACGAUCCAACGAAUUAAAACGUGGUUGAUUUUUCUAUUGCUAUACUAAAAUACGUUAAAAACACUUGAAAUAAACAUAGUUUCUAGUUGUUUAUUGAACUCGUAAGUACACGACACAGAAUUACACCUAAAUUAUAUGAAAUAUAUUAAUGAAAUGAAUUGUACUACACAGACACACAUAAUUUGUUAAACAUAGUUGCGGACAUUGAACAAACAGGUUAAAAAGGAGGGACUAAAUACGUAAGUAAAAUUUGUUUGUUAACAUGAUUAUAUAAUAAUUAUAAAUAAAACUCCGCAGCUUAAAGCAUUCUCAACCCGCAAAAACCGAGUUUGCUAAAAAGGCUUCCCGAAAAACCACUGUUGUUCACUAACCGUAACAAACUUUAAGGUAUUUACCUCGAAGUGGAACGCAUUAGCGUUCGGAAUGUCGGUCUCUAAUAAUACAACGAACAAGCGCCGCGGCGUCAUCCGACAGCUGACGGACGAAGAGAGCUCCGUUGCCGCCCGUUGUCCUUCAUGCGAUCGGCCAGAUGUGGCAGAUAGAUGGAUGGUCCAGUGUGAUCUAUGUCAAAGGUGGUUUCACUUCUCCUGUGCAAGAGUCGAUGAGAGUGUGCGAGACCGCAGUUUCGCAUGUGGAACCUGCGCACUUCAACACGGGUUGGAAUCCACUAGAUCGACCACAUCCAGCACAAAUUCGGCGAGAAGACGGCUCGAGCUCCUCCGGUUAGAAGAGGAAAAGGAACUUCAGGAGAAACUGCUAGCGGAACAAGUCGAAGAGGAGGCGGCUCUGCAAAGGAAGAUAGUGGAAGAGGAACGGGAGCGUCGAAAGAGGAUCAUGCAGGAGAAGCUGGAUAUUGCCAAGCGGUAUAUCAACAAGAAGUACGAGGUGCUGCAGGAAGAGGAACGAUCAAAUCAUGGUGGGAGUCGGAAAAGUCAUUCCAGCACUCGAAGCAAACUGAGCGACGUUGAGAAGUGGGUGAAUAAUCAAAAUUUGGCCUUGGUAACUGGAUCCGGGACGAGUCAAGCCCCCAUCGGUGCCACGCCAGUUGUCGAAAUUGACCCCAAAACAACAGCUAGUAGUUCGUGUGGCGGUGCAGUUCCGAUCGUUUCCGCGCAGGCUGGUGUUCCCAAUACAUCUGUAGCAGCUACCGGUCCGUACAACCUUAACAAUAUCGCUUCUUGGGGAAUACUGGUACCCCGGUCGGGUCAGGGCCCAGCGAAUUCAGCUUCGGUUCCCCCUCCAUCGCUACCGACAACGUCCAGUACUCCGGUGCAGGAAAAGCAGAUUCCUCGUAGCAGCAAUCACGUAGCAGCUGACAUUUCUCCCCCCGCGACGACGCAGCAAGUUGGGCCAGCAGUGUACGAUAUGGACAUUUCUCCACCUCACGUCGGCGAACGGUCUAGAGCGGAUCUAGAGCGAGAGCUGCAGGAACUGCAGCAACAGUUAGCCAACCUCAAACGAAGUUCGUCCAGUCAGUAUCACUGUCCAGCUCCUGGUGGCAUCAGCAACGUUUCAGUUCCAGUAACUAGCCUAAGUAACAUGGCAGAUACAGGUACGUCAAACUUGCAUGUUUUGUUUCAAGCGACUCAAGAUGAAGGUAGACAGGCGCAGUUUCCGCGCAGUUACCCAGUAGGGACUCAGGCAAAUGUUAGAUUCGCUACACAAUGUACCAUACAGAACACGGUUCCAAACACUAGCUUUCUUCCUCGCUGGAACCCGAUGGUUUCAUCAAGUCGCUUAACGUCAAACCCACCAGGGGUUCCCAAUCCGAGUUUUUACAACGAUCCCAAUGUUCUCGCUGAUAACUUGUUCCAGCAGUAUGAACCAAGAAUUUCCAAUCCCAAUACCCGAUCAACUUUGUCGGCAGAAGCACCUUCCUAUCCUUUUAUCGCGAGUGAAAGAAGUGCUUCGAAUCAGAUAAGUCAGCCAGUCGCUUUUCCGGUUGAUGUUAUCUCCCGCCCUUUCGUCGCGAGUGUGCCGAGUGUCCCAAAUCCAAUCGUUACGCCAGUAGUGUCACAACGAGCGGUUCCUGAUCCAUCGGCCAGGCAUUGUGGACCGAGUUCGCAGCAAAUCGCCGCGAGGCACGUCGUGCCCAAGGAGCUUCCGGAGUUCGCAGGUGAUCCCAUAGAGUGGCCAUUGUUCGUGAGCAGUUACAACAACUCGACUCGAAUGUGUGGAUAUACCGACGACGAAAAUCUUAUGCGACUACAACGCAGCCUGAAGGGGAAUGCGAAGGAAGCAGUUCGGGGGCAUCUCUACCAUCCGUCAUCCGUGCCACAGAUUAUGACCACCUUGGAAACCCUAUACGGACGCCCGGAAUUAAUAGUAAAGUGCUUGACGAGCAAAGUGUAUUCUACUCCGGCGCCAAAAGCAGAUAAACUGGAAAGUCUCAUCAGUUUCGGACUCGUUGUGCAGAACCUCUGUAGCCAGCUGCAGUCUAUGGGUAUGGAAACCCAUUUGGCCAAUCCCUCACUACUCCAGGAUCUGGUAGACAAGCUGCCAGCUAACAUUAAACUGGACUGGGCUAUGUACCAGCGCCACGUUCCAGUAGUGGACUUGCGUGCUUUCGGCACCUAUAUGACCACAAUUGUAUCUGCCGCUAGCAAGGUCACGCUUUACGCAGAGCCGUCUACAAAGCCAGAGAAGCCUAAAGGGAAGGAAAAAGGUUUCGUCAACGCCCAUUCAACGGAACCCAACAGACACAACGAUCGCGACAAGAAGGAGGAGACAAGCGGCGUGAGUGUAGGCUAUCAACCAAAGCCGUGUCUGUUGUGUAAGUUGGAGGGGCAUAAAGUGAAGGAUUGCGAGGGAUUCAAGCAAUUAACGUUGGCGAAUCGAUGGAAAACUGCUCAUCAGCUGAGCCUUUGUCGUCGCUGUCUGAUUCCACACGGAAAGUGGCCAUGCAAGGCCACAGUUUGUGGAGUAGGUAACUGCGAAGCGCGUCAUCACAAGUUGUUACAUCCUGGAGAUCCCCAGUCGUCGGUUAUCGAAGGUACGACGCCAGCAUUAAACCAGCCCGCAUCGUCAGCGACCGUGAAUGUGCAUCGACAGCAUCCGUGUCCGGUACUCUUCCGAAUACUGCCAGUUACACUUUACGGGAAAAGUGCAUCAGUCAACACGCUAGCGUUUCUCGACGAUGGAUCAUCGCACACGCUUAUCGAGAAGAAGUUGGCCGACGAACUAGGCGUUGAAGGCGAAGUGGAACCCCUGUGCAUACAGUGGACAGGCAAUAUACGACGAACAGAAAGUGAAUCCCAGAACGUUCAGCUUGCAGUUUCGGCGAUUGGUAACGAUCGGAAGCAUUCUUUGGACCAUGUGCGUACGGUGGAGAACUUGGAUCUUCCUCCACAAUCGUUGCAGUACGAAGAAAUGGCGCGCAAAUUCGACUAUCUGAAGGGUAUUCCUGUGAACAGUUAUUCUAGUGCUGCACCUCGUAUCCUGAUCGGCGCCGACAAUGCCAAGUUGUUGCUGACAUUAAAGAAGCGAGAAGGAAAGUACUGCGAACCAGUUGCGGCGAAGACUAGAUUAGGUUGGACCGUCUACGGGAAAGCGGAAGGCCUUAACGACUCGCCCGAACAUCGUCUACUUCACAUUUGUGGCCGGUCGUCUGAUCAACAGCUACACGAUGCAGUGAAGAGCUUUUUUUCGAUCGAAAACGUAGGUGUAGCCCUUGUCCCGCAAGUCGAAGCCGACGAAGAUCGCAGGGCACGCGAAAUUCUGGAAAGGACAACCAUUCGCACAGCAACCGGAAGAUUUCAAACAGGUCUGCUAUGGAAGUUUGAUUGUGUCGAGUUUCCAGAAAACCGAUUCAUGGCAGAGCGACGAUUGACUUGUCUAGAACGAAGCCUCUCAAAGAAACCGGAAUUAUACGCGAACGUCCGUCAACAGAUACUCGACUAUCAAGCAAAGGGUUACGCGCACAAGCUUACCGAUGAAGAAACUAACCGCAGUGAACCAAAAAAGGUGUGGUAUUUGCCGCUAGGAGUCGUGCAGAACCCGAACAAACCCGGAAAAGUUCGGGUCAUAUGGGAUGCUGCCGCCAAAACUGGUGGUGUUUCACUGAACUCAAUGCUUCUACCGGGUCCGGAUCUUCUCACCUCGCUUCCAUCUGUAUUGUUCCGCUUUCGCCAACGAGAGGUUGCCGUCACAGGCGACAUUAAGGAAAUGUUCCACCAGAUUAUCAUUCGUCCGGAAGAUCGACAGGCCCAGCGUUUCCUGUGGCGGGACAGUCAGGAAGACCCGAUUCAGGAAUACGUCAUGGACGUAGCCACGUUUGGGUCUACAUGUUCGCCAUGUUCUGCCCAAUACGUAAAGAACAAAAACGCUGAGGAAUGGAAGCAGAGAUAUCCCGAAGCAGCUGCAGCCAUAGUAGAGAAUACCUAUGUAGAUGAUUAUGCAAACAGUGCGGAUACGGUUGAAGAAGCAGUUCGCGUAGCACUCGAAGUGAAGGAGAUUCAUGCUAGCGCGGGCUUUGUAAUUCGGAACUGGCUCUCGAAUUCCGGACAAGUUCUUCGACGGGUCGGGGAACAAGGUUCAGAAACCUCGAAAACCUUUUCAGUGGGAAAGUCAGCCGAUGCAGAACGAGUUCUGGGUAUAACCUGGCUUCCAGAAUAUGACAGCCUCCUGUUCGCCGCCAAGUUUCGCCCUGAUAUUCAACAUCUACUAGACGAAGACACGAUUCCAACCAAGCGUCAGGUGCUCAGGGUCGUGAUGAGUAUUUUUGACCCCCUCGGACUGGUGGCGGCAUUUGUUGUUCACGGCAAGUGCUUGAUCCAAGACAUUUGGAGAGCAGGCGUCGACUGGGACGACCAGAUUCCACCGGAGAUAGUCGAUCAAUGGCGGCGAUGGGUCGAGGUGCUUCGUAAUCUAGACCACGUGGAGAUCCCGCGCUGUUACUUCCCUGGAUACGACCCACGCAGCCUUCAGAGCCUGGAACUUCAUGUUUUUGUCGAUGCGAGUGAGGCAGCGUAUGCGAGUGUCGCAUAUUUUCGAAUUGUCGAUCGUGGGCAUGUCCGCUGCGCACUUGUUGCUGCCAAAACUAAAGUGGCCCCUCUUAAACCGAUGUCAGUUCCCCGGCUAGAGUUACAGGCUGCAGUCAUUGGAGUAAGAUUAAUGAAGUCGGUUCAGGAGCAUCACACCUUACCGAUCAGUCGUCGUGUGAUCUGGGGUGACUCGAAAACGGUGCAGUCCUGGAUCCGUUCUGACCAACGCAAAUACCGGCAAUUCGUGGCCUUUAGGGUCAGUGAGAUCCUCAGCGAAACGAGUACAGACGAAUGGCGAUGGGUUCCGACGCGGCUCAAUGUUGCAGAUGAGGCCACAAAAUGGGGCAAAGGACCAUGCUUCCAAACUGACAGUCGGUGGUUUGUUGGCCCUGAAUUUCUGUACAAGGACGAAUCUGAAUGGCCUAUACAAGAGUCCUCCCCGCCGGACACUUCGGAAGAAAUGCGCGUGGUUCACGCUCACCAUCGAGUGGCUCCGGAAUCUCUGAUUCAAUAUUACCGGUUUUCCAAAUAUCAACGGCUGCUGCGGACCGUAGGAUUCGUUCUUCGCUUCAUUGAUUCCCGCCGUAGAAGAAUUGAUCCCGAACGGCGUGAUUCCAGGACAUUGUCAAAAGAAGAACUGUUGAAAGCAGAAGUUGUGCUGUGGAAGCUGGUGCAGGCCGAAGAAUACUCUGAAGAGCUAACAACAUUGCGCAGAAAUCAUCAGUUGUCACCGGAAUGCGGCAAGCGGCUGGAGAAAAGCAGUCCACUGCGGAAGUUGACAGUAUUUUUGGACGAACAAGGAGUCUUGCGGAUCGAAGGACGAAUUGGUGCGGCCAAAUGUGUUCCAUACGGGUCCAAGUUUCCCGUGAUUCUUCCGAAAAAGCACCGUUUCACCGAGUUACUCGUUGAAUUCUUCCAUCAGCGCUACGCACACGGAUUUGGAGAAACAGUAACGAAUGAACUACGACAGAGUUUUCACAUCCCAAGUUUGAGAACAGUUGUUCGGAAAGUGGCUAGGAGUUGUCCAUGGUGUACCGUAUAUCGCGCUGUACCGAAGGCACCUCGAAUGGCACCUCUUCCAGCAGUACGAGUGACCCCUUAUGUCCGGCCAUUCACAUUCAUCGGAAUCGACUACUGUGGACCGUUCAUGAUUCGGAUCGGCAGAAGCAGCGUAAAACGUUGGGUUGUGCUCAUCACCUGCUUGACGGUACGAGCCGUACACCUAGAAGUCGCCUGCAGCAUGUCCAGCGAGUCGUGUAAGAUGGCGAUCAGGCGGUUUAUAGCCAGGAGAGGUGCUCCACAGGAGAUUUAUAGUGAUCAGGGCACGAACUUCAUCGGAGCGAGCAGAGAGCUAAAAGCGGAAGUUGCAGCGGUGAAUCGUGUCUUGGCAGGAAGUUUUACCAACCGUGACACUCAAUGGCGGUUCAAUCCCCCCGCCGCCCCCCACAUGGGUGGCGUGUGGGAACGCCUAGUACGAACCGUGAAGACUUCGUUGGAAUCUCUGUCGAUCAGCAAAACACCGGACGAAGAAACUUUCAACACUCUCCUCAUUGAAGUCGAAGGAAUCGUCAAUUCCAGGCCGUUGACGUUUGUGCCUCUAGAAACGGAAGAUGAUGAAGCGCUUACGCCCAACCACUUCCUUAUGCUGAGCUCAAAUGGCGUUUGCCAGCCACCGCAAAUGCCAGCAAAGGACAGUGGUCGGUCGCUUCGGGCUAAUUGGGACCAGGUGCGAUGCUUACUGGAUGAAUUUUGGAGCAAGUGGAUCAAGGGAUACCUGCCUACCAUCUGCCGUCGCACGAAGUGGUUCGACGACACCAAGCCAGUCAACGUUGGAGACCUGGUGUUUAUAGUCGAUGAAGGUAUACGGAACAGCUGGAUACGCGGAAAGGUGGUGAAGGUGAUUCCUGGCAGCGAUGGAAGAGUACGAAGAGUUGAUGUGCAGACGAACAUCGGAGUGUUGCAGAGACCAGUUACCAAAGUGGCAGUGUUAGACGUGGCAGUUGGAGGUACAGCUGAGGAUGACCACUAGCAAUACGGGUCGGGGAAUGUAGUUGAGUAGGCCCACCGUGCACACUACCACUAUUACGGAUGAUGAAGUAGACCUACCUUGCAUAACCUACCGUGGUCAGCAUAGCUGUCACUGAUAGGUAUGAAUGAGGACAAAACAAAACAGAACGACAGAUAGGGAUCAAAAACGAUCCAACGAAUUAAAACGUGGUUGAUUUUUCUAUUGCUAUACUAAAAUACGUUAAAAACACUUGAAAUAAACAUAGUUUCUAGUUGUUUAUUGAACUCACACACAUAAUUUGUUAAACAUAGUUGCGGACAUUGAACAAACAGGUUAAAAAGGAGGGACUAAAUACGUAAGUAAAAUUUGUUUGUUAACAUGAUUAUAUAAUAAUUAUAAAUAAAACUCCGCAGCUUAAAGCAUUCUCAACCCGCAAAAACCGAGUUUGCUAAAAAGGCUUCCCGAAAAACCACUGUUGUUCACUAACCGUAACAACCAUUUUAACCAAACACAUGUUUAUUAAUAUUGCGCUUUUUUCCGUUUAUUAAUAAAUCUAUCGUUUAACUGGU